This 393-nucleotide transfer-messenger RNA is filed under the name Flavobacteriaceae. RNAcentral's name for it is "Winogradskyella sp004211785 Standard tmRNA". It matches the Rfam family "transfer-messenger RNA". Rfam says of the family: Bacterial tmRNA, also known as 10Sa RNA or SsrA, is named for its dual tRNA and mRNA-like properties. The record is from RNAcentral. RNAcentral also lists the same sequence under 1 other name. Lineage: Bacteria; Pseudomonadati; Bacteroidota; Flavobacteriia; Flavobacteriales.
GGGGUCGACUGGUUUUGACAGCGAGAUUAAUUAAAUGGUAAGCACGUCGUGUAAUGGCAUUGAAACACGUAAAAGGCUAGACCAAAUUUUAAACGGCGAGAAUAACUACGCUUUAGCUGCAUAAUCUGAAUUAUAGUAAGAUUGGCCUCGGUACACUAGGUGUACAAGCUAAAUGUCUCCAGAAAGCCUUGGUUAAUGGCGUUCUUUUUUGAGGCAUCGUAAAUAUUGACUAAGAUUGGGUAGUGCUUUGAUGCCCUUUUGAGAUUAAGAAGCUAAGUUGUAAGUAGAAUGUUUUUAAUCGGCUUACAAUCGAAAACCAAGAAAAAACUAAACGUGUAGAAAGCUCUUUGGUUACUUGUUUGGACGAGAGUUCGAUUCUCUCCGACUCCACUC